Rhopalosiphum maidis (corn leaf aphid) is the source of this 3748-nucleotide RNA transcript. It is a transcript of the gene named F-box only protein 6-like, with no coding region annotated. The transcript has 23 exons. The record is from RefSeq and is a predicted model, not a curated record. NCBI's taxonomy places the organism in Eukaryota, Metazoa, Arthropoda, Insecta, Hemiptera, Aphididae.
UUUCUUGAAUCUUUUGGCUCAAAGAAUAUAUUUUAGUUUUAAUAUUUCCAACUCUGAAUUAUUACGAUUUGUUCUAGGUUAUAGAUUUGUAUAUAUUUUUCAUAAGAUACCAGUACCGCGGAUUGUCAAUGUAAGCUGGGCAUGGAUCUUGCAUUUGUAAUACCUGUGAAACUACUAAUAUUCUAUCUACGUUGAAGAUGAACGAUAACAAUUACAUAAACAUCAAUGAUUUAUUGCAAUUUCUUUUGUACAGAUUAUUGAUUAUACCAGUACCGCGGAUUGUCAAUGUAAGCUGGGCAUGGAUCUUGCAUUUGUAAUACCUGUGAAACUACUAAUAUUCUAUCUACAUUGAAGAUGAACGAUAACAAUUACAUAAACAUCAAUGAUUUAUUGCAAUUUCUUUUGUAAAGAUUAUUGAUUAUACCAGUACCGCGGAUUGUCUGGGCAUGGAUCUUGCAUUUGUAAUACCUGUGAAACUACUAAUAUUCUAUCUACGUUGAAGAUGAACGAUAACAAUUACAUAAACAUCAAUGAUUUAUUGCAAUUUCUUUUGUAAAGAUUAUUGAUUAUACCAGUACCGCGGAUUGUCAAUGUAAGCUGGGCAUGGAUCUUGCAUUUGUAAUACCUGUGAAACUACUAAUAUUCUAUCUACAUUGAAGAUGAACGAUAACAAUUACAUAAACAUCAAUGAUUUAUUGCAAUUUCUUUUGUAAAGAUUAUUGAUUAUACCAGUACCGCGGAUUGUCUGGGCAUGGAUCUUGCAUUUGUAAUACCUGUGAAACUACUAAUAUUCUAUCUACGUUGAAGAUGAACGAUAACAAUUACAUAAACAUCAAUGAUUUAUUGCAAUUUCUUUUGUACAGAUUAUUGAUUAUACCAGUACCGCGGAUUGUCAAUGUAAGCUGGGCAUGGAUCUUGCAUUUGUAAUACCUGUGAAACUACUAAUAUUCUAUCUACAUUGAAGAUGAACGAUAACAAUUACAUAAACAUCAAUGAUUUAUUGCAAUUUCUUUUGUAAAGAUUAUUGAUUAUACCAGUACCGCGGAUUGUCUGGGCAUGGAUCUUGCAUUUGUAAUACCUGUGAAACUACUAAUAUUCUAUCUACGUUGAAGAUGAACGAUAACAAUUACAUAAACAUCAAUGAUUUAUUGCAAUUUCUUUUGUACAGAUUAUUGAUUAUACCAGUACCGCGGAUUGUCAAUGUAAGCUGGGCAUGGAUCUUGCAUUUGUAAUACCUGUGAAACUAUUAAUAUUCUAUCUACAUUGAAGAUGAACGAUAACAAUUACAUAAACAUCAAUGAUUUAUUGCAAUUUCUUUUGUAAAGAUUAUUGAUUAUACCACUACCGCGGAUUGUCAAUGUAAGCUGGGCAUGGAUCUUGCAUUUGUAAUACCUGUGAAACUACUAAUAUUCUAUCUACAUUGAAGAUGAACGAUAACAAUUACAUAAACAUCAAUGAUUUAUUGCAAUUUCUUUUGUAAAGAUUAUUGAUUAUACCAGUACCGCGGAUUGUCAAUGUAAGCUGGGCAUGGAUCUUGCAUUUGUAAUACCUGUGAAACUACUAAUAUUCUAUCUACAUUGAAGAUGAACGAUAACAAUUACAUAAACAUCAAUGAUUUAUUGCAAUUUCUUUUGUAAAGAUUAUUGAUUAUACCAGUACCGCGGAUUGUCAAUGUAAGCUGGGCAUGGAUCUUGCAUUUGUAAUACCUGUGAAACAACUAAUAUUCUAUCUACAUUGAAGAUGAACGAUAACAAUUACAUAAACAUCAAUGAUUUAUUGCAAUUUCUUUUGUAAAGAUUAUUGAUUAUACCAGUACCGCGGAUUGUCAAUGUAAGCUGGGCAUGGAUCUUGCAUUUGUAAUACCUGUGAAACUAUUAAUAUUCUAUCUACAUUGAAGAUGAACGAUAACAAUUACAUAAACAUCAAUGAUUUAUUGCAAUUUCUUUUGUAAAGAUUAUUGAUUAUACCACUACCGCGGAUUGUCAAUGUAAGCUGGGCAUGGAUCUUGCAUUUGUAAUACCUGUGAAACUACUAAUAUUCUAUCUACAUUGAAGAUGAACGAUAACAAUUACAUAAACAUCAAUGAUUUAUUGCAAUUUCUUUUGUAAAGAUUAUUGAUUAUACCAGUACCGCGGAUUGUCAAUGUAAGCUGGGCAUGGAUCUUGCAUUUGUAAUACCUGUGAAACUACUAAUAUUCUAUCUACAUUGAAGAUGAACGAUAACAAUUACAUAAACAUCAAUGAUUUAUUGCAAUUUCUUUUGUAAAGAUUAUUGAUUAUACCAGUACCGCGGAUUGUCAAUGUAAGCUGGGCAUGGAUCUUGCAUUUGUAAUACCUGUGAAACAACUAAUAUUCUAUCUACAUUGAAGAUGAACGAUAACAAUUACAUAAACAUCAAUGAUUUAUUGCAAUUUCUUUUGUAAAGAUUAUUGAUUAUACCAGUACCGCGGAUUGUCAAUGUAAGCUGGGCAUGGAUCUUGCAUUUGUAAUACCUGUGAAACUAUUAAUAUUCUAUCUACAUUGAAGAUGAACGAUAACAAUUACAUAAACAUCAAUGAUUUAUUGCAAUUUCUUUUGUAAAGAUUAUUGAUUAUACCACUACCGCGGAUUGUCAAUGUAAGCUGGGCAUGGAUCUUGCAUUUGUAAUACCUGUGAAACUACUAAUAUUCUAUCUACAUUGAAGAUGAACGAUAACAAUUACAUAAACAUCAAUGAUUUAUUGCAAUUUCUUUUGUAAAGAUUAUUGAUUAUACCAGUACCGCGGAUUGUCAAUGUAAGCUGGGCAUGGAUCUUGCAUUUGUAAUACUUGUGAAACUACUAAUAUUCUAUCUACAUUGAAGAUGAACGAUAACAAUUACAUAAACAUCAAUGAUUUAUUGCAAUUUCUUUUGUAAAGAUUAUUGAUUAUACCAGUACCGCGGAUUGUCAAUGUAAGCUGGGCAUGGAUCUUGCAUUUGUAAUACCUGUGAAACUAUUAAUAUUCUAUCUACAUUGAAGAUGAACGAUAACAAUUACAUAAACAUCAAUGAUUUAUUGCAAUUUCUUUUGUAAAGAUUAUUGAUUAUACCACUACCGCGGAUUGUCAAUGUAAGCUGGGCAUGGAUCUUGCAUUUGUAAUACCUGUGAAACUACUAAUAUUCUAUCUACAUUGAAGAUGAACGAUAACAAUUACAUAAACAUCAAUGAUUUAUUGCAAUUUCUUUUGUAAAGAUUAUUGAUUAUACCAGUACCGCGGAUUGUCAAUGUAAGCUGGGCAUGGAUCUUGCAUUUGUAAUACUUGUGAAACUACUAAUAUUCUAUCUACAUUGAAGAUGAACGAUAACAAUUACAUAAACAUCAAUGAUUUAUUGCAAUUUCUUUUGUAAAGAUUAUUGAUUAUACCACUACCGCGGAUUGUCAAUGUAAGCUGGGCAUGGAUCUUGCAUUUGUAAUAUCAGUGAAACUAAUUCUUGAUUAGUUAUCUUAUAAUAUUAAUAUUGAUAGGAAGGUAUACUUUAUUAUAUAUAUAAUAUGUAUGUAUUUAUAUAUAAUUUAAUAUGAUAUAAUAACAUAAAAUUGUUAGCCAAAAUAAGUCCAAUUCAUACAUAUUACCUAUUACCUAAUACCUAUUUAUAGUACAAAAAUAAUUAAACAAACCUAUUUUAUGUACAUGUAGAUUAAAUCCAUUAGACUCAAAUCAGAAUCUAUACGAUAUAUAUGUAUAUUUAAAGAAUAUGUGAUUUAUGUUUUGCACCAAUAUCAUAUUAUAA